RNAcentral lists this ribosomal RNA (526 nucleotides) under uncultured bacterium. RNAcentral's name for it is "bacterial SSU rRNA". It matches the Rfam family "Bacterial small subunit ribosomal RNA", at positions 28 to 551 of the family's 1533-position model. The record is from RNAcentral.
GAUGAACGCUAGCGGCAGGCCUAAUACAUGCAAGUCGAGGGGCAGCGCGGACUUCGGUCUGGCGGCGACCGGCGUACGGGUGCGUAACGCGUAUGCAACCUACCUUCAGCUGGGGGAUAGCCCGUGGAAACAUGGAUUAAUACCCCAUAAAGCAGGGGUCUCGCAUGGGACUAUUUGCUAAAGAUUUAUUGGCUGGAGAUGGGCAUGCGUCUGAUUAGUUAGUUGGUGAGGUAACGGCUCACCAAGGCGAUGAUCAGUAGGGGUUCUGAGAGGAUGAUCCCCCACACUGGUACUGAGACACGGACCAGACUCCUACGGGAGGCAGCAGUAGGGAAUAUUGGGCAAUGGGCGAGAGCCUGACCCAGCCAUGCCGCGUGCAGGAAGACGGCCUUCUGGGUUGUAAACUGCUUUUAUCAGGGAAGAAAGGGGCACUGCGGGGCCAGUUGACUGUACCUGAUGAAUAAGCACCGGCUAACUCCGUGCCAGCAGCCGCGGUAAUACGGAGGGUGCAAGCGUUGUCCGGAUA